RNAcentral lists this ribosomal RNA (612 nucleotides) under Triticum aestivum (bread wheat). Its description in RNAcentral is "partial small subunit ribosomal RNA". The record is from RNAcentral. Lineage: Eukaryota; Viridiplantae; Streptophyta; Magnoliopsida; Poales; Poaceae.
AUGAUAUUUGCUAGGGAGAAUUACAUUUGGGGUACCAUUAAAGCUCAGGUUAGUAAAGCAGUCAGAGAUAGAGUUUGGGUUUCUUUUGCCAAGGAUUCUGCUGGUUGGGCUUACUUAUUCUAUGAGAAAAUUGGCAGAAUCUGCACUUUUUGUGGAGUUAUGUUUCAUAGUGUUCAGCAUUGGAAGAUCAGAAAUAGUGUUCUCAUUUCAAGAAACAGGCUGCAAGUUUCUUUGGAAGAAAUCUCACCAAAUAGAUUUGGGCAGUGGAUGACUAAUGCAGAGUUGAUUCCUACUCUUUCAGGAGGAAAUGUUCAGGCAGAAGCAAAUUCAUUCUCAUCUUUCAUCAAUACUCAGCUAGCAAGGUUGCAGAAGCAGUUCAUAGAGGAUCCCAAAGGAAAAGGAAAGAUGUCAGGAGAGGAUUCUGCUGAAAAAGGAAAUCAGAAGGUAUUAUCUUUAAGGAAAAUUAAUGAAGAAAAUAAAAGAAUGGAAGGAGAGUUCAUUCACAGUCAGCAGCAGAGUCAAAGUGGUGAUUUAAUGGAUACAACGGUGUUACCAGAUGCAGGUAAUAAGGAGAUAGAUGUUGGGCAAAGCAAUUACGUAGAAGGAGGGUGA